CUAUAUCUGGAUUCUCCUUCAAGGUACUAUCGCAUCUGUUGGGCAAGAACCCUUUCUUCCUCACCAGCUCAACCAUGGAGUCGGCUUCCUCUUCCUAGAUCCGGUUUCCCGGAACGUGUUGACCAGCACCUAUGGCUGCAAAAGAGCAGCGAGCUUCAAGAGAGGAGGAGAUGGUGUAGAGUCGUCGGACCAUCCAAUUUCAGUCGAGGGUUCAGAACCAGCAAUGGGGUUACUUUCGAUUGAAGAGGCGGCCGUUCUUAACUGCUACCCAUUCAUGCUCCAAUCACACUUCAACCUCUAGAUGGGAAAUGAAAAUGGUGCCGCAAUGACAUUCCACGAUAUGGUAAUGAGAGCAAGCAAAGUGGUGCUGCACUCUGCGAGCUAGUGAUGACUUGAAAGGAAAAAAUUUUUACUGGCCGUGUUGGACAAGACCAGAGUUCCAAUGAUUCAGGAGUUCAUAUGGAUGUAGCAAGUUGCUCUGUGGAGAAUAACUCACCUGUGGAAGCUCCUUCUUCCUCCUUUUGCGUGGGAGAUGGGAACCAGGAUGAAUCAGAGUCGUGUGUGACUUACAAAUUGAACAGGAAGGGAAUGAUUCUGGCAGCCAGAAAAUGAUCAGUUCACGAAUUGAUUGUCAGCCAUGGCCUAAGGGUAAGAGGCUUCCUAAAGAUGCACCUGAAGGGAGCACCCAAAGCUUGAUGGGUGCUAUUGAGAGGGGGCUACGCAAUGCAUCGAAUAGAAAGGGAAGAUAUAUAUUUGAGCCCUCACCUGGAAUGACAUUUGAUUGCGUGAGUGAAGCACAAGGGUUUUGUAAUAUAUACUCAUGGGAGGUUGGUUUUGGCUGUCGAUCAAGUGAGGGGAGUGCUUGCCGACAGAAUGCUAAUGCUAGUUGCACUGAGUAUGUUUCUAGUACUGAAACAGAUUGUGAAUCCAUGCGAAACAUGUAUGGUGCUGCAGGGUCUAGUGUUGGUCUGAGUGAUUCAGAGUUGUUGAGCUUAAGGCCUCCGGAUGUGAAAAUGAGGCGUGAUGGUCAAAGGAUGAAUCUCUACAAGACGAGGAAUGACAUAAUAAGGGAGAGAUUGAAGCAGGCAGGGAGGAAGGUGAGCAAGAAGAAGAAAAACAAGUGAUGCGGCACCUGUGGGCUUGAUGACCACAAGAUGUCAGAAUGUCUAACCAAGACUGUUGGUUUAACUUACACAUGGGAGUGUUGAUUCUGGUGGUACUAGUUUCCAGAGCUCAUCGUAGCUUGUGUUUUGGUGGAUCAUCAUACUUGUAGUGCCUACGAGCCCUUUAGUAAGUUGGUCCUCUGGAUUGACGAAUCAUGUAAUUUAGUUUGGAUGCCAAGCUACUAACUGUUUAAGUUACUAAUGAAUGUACUGUUAUGACAUUCAAAUGUAUUUUGGGCACUGAAGUUUGUUAGGUUAA
RNA transcript from Panicum virgatum (switchgrass), 1422 nucleotides. RefSeq lists it as uncharacterized. The transcript has 5 exons. Lineage: Eukaryota; Viridiplantae; Streptophyta; Magnoliopsida; Poales; Poaceae. The record is from RefSeq and is a predicted model, not a curated record.